ACAGAGGGGGCAAGCGUUGUUCGGAAUUACUGGGCGUAAAGGGCGCGUAGGCGGCCUGUUAAGUCGAACGUGAAAUCCCUGGGCUCAACCCAGGAACUGCGUCCGAUACUGGCAGGCUUGAAUCCGGGAGAGGGAUGUGGAAUUCCAGGUGUAGCGGUGAAAUGCGUAGAUAUCGUCCAGAACACCGAUAGCGAAGGCAGCUUACUAAGGAGUAACUGACGCUGAUGCACGAAAGUGUGGGGAUCAAACAGGA
This 253-nucleotide ribosomal RNA is filed under the name uncultured prokaryote. RNAcentral describes it as "partial 16S ribosomal RNA". It matches the Rfam family "Bacterial small subunit ribosomal RNA", at positions 525 to 777 of the family's 1533-position model. The record is from RNAcentral.